RNAcentral lists this ribosomal RNA (500 nucleotides) under uncultured bacterium. RNAcentral's name for it is "partial 16S ribosomal RNA". It matches the Rfam family "Bacterial small subunit ribosomal RNA", at positions 30 to 523 of the family's 1533-position model. The record is from RNAcentral.
AUUGAACGCUGGCGGCAUGCUUUACACAUGCAAGUCGAACGGUAACAGGGUGCUUGCACCGCUGACGAGUGGCGAACGGGUGAGUAAUGCGUCGGAACGUGCCGAGUAGUGGGGGAUAACGCAGCGAAAGUUGUGCUAAUACCGCAUACGUACUGAGGUAGAAAGUGGGGGACCUUCGGGCCUUACGCUAUUCGAGCGGCCGACGUCUGAUUAGCUAGUAGGUGAGGUAAAGGCUCACCUAGGCGACGAUCAGUAGCGGGUCUGAGAGGAUGAUCCGCCACACUGGGACUGAGACACGGCCCAGACUCCUACGGGAGGCAACAGUGGGGAAUUUUGGACAAUGGGCGAAAGCCUGAUCCAGCCAUGCCGCGUGUCUGAAGAAGGCCUUCGGGUUGUAAAGGACUUUUGUCAGGGAGGAAAUCCCUAGUACUAAUAACACUGGGGGAUGACAGUACCUGAAGAAUAAGCACCGGCUAACUACGUGCCAGCCGCCGCCGUAA